GACGAACGCUGGCGGCGUGCUUAACACAUGCAAGUCGAACGGAAAGGCCCUGCUUUUGUUGGGUGCUCGAGUGGCGAACGGGUGAGUAACACGCGUGUAACCUGCCCUUGACUUUCGGAUAACUUCAGGAAACUGGGGCUAUUACCGCAUAGUAGCUCUUGCUGCAUGGGGGGGGUUGGAAAGUUUCGGCGGUUGGGGAUGGACUCGCGGCUUAUCCGCUUGUUGGUGGGGUAGUGGCUUACCAAGGCUUUGACGGGUAGCCGGCCUGAGAGGGUGACCGGCGACAUGGGGACUGAGAUACGGCCCAGAAUCCUACGGGAGGCAGAAGUGGGGAAUAUUGCACAAUGGGCGGAAGCCUGAUGCAGCAACGCCGCGUGCGGGAUGACGGCCUUCGGGUUGUAAACCGCUUUCGCCUGUGACGAAGCGUGAGUGACGGUAAUGGGUAAAGAAGCACCGGCUAACUACGUG
Molecule: ribosomal RNA, 468 nt
Filed under: uncultured bacterium
Lineage: Bacteria
Description: partial 16S ribosomal RNA
Rfam family: Bacterial small subunit ribosomal RNA
Source: RNAcentral